AUGACGUUAGCUCAGUCGGGUAGAGCAUUGGCUUCGCAUGCCAUUGGCCGCCGGUUCGAAUCCGGCACGUCGCU
This 74-nucleotide transfer RNA is filed under the name Dyella marensis. Its description in RNAcentral is "tRNA_Ala_CGC". It matches the Rfam family "tRNA". From Rfam's summary of the family: Transfer RNA (tRNA) molecules are approximately 80 nucleotides in length. Their secondary structure includes four short double-helical elements and three loops (D, anti-codon, and T loops). The record is from RNAcentral. Lineage: Bacteria; Pseudomonadati; Pseudomonadota; Gammaproteobacteria; Lysobacterales; Rhodanobacteraceae.